UGGGGAAUCUUCCGCAAUGGACGAAAGUCUGACGGAGCAACGCCGCGUGAGUGAAGACGGCCUUCGGGUUGUAAAGCUCUGUUAUUCGGGAAGAACGAUUCGUUUGUGAACAAUGAACGGAAGUGACGGUACCGAAAGAGAAAGCCACGGCUAACUACGUGCCAGCAGCCGCGGUAAUACGUAGGUGGCAAGCGUUGUCCGGAAUUAUUGGGCGUAAAGAGCGCGUAGGCGGUAUGGUAAGUCUGUCUUAGAAGUGCGGGGCUUAACCCCGUCAGGGGACAGAGACUGUCAUACUGGAGUCUCGGAGAGGGAAGCGGAAUUCCUAGUGUAGCGGUGAAAUGCGUAGAGAUUAGGAAGAACACCGGUGGCGAAGGCGGCUUUCUGGACGAGCACUGACGCUGAGGCGCGAAAGCGUGGGGAGCGAACAGG
This 429-nucleotide ribosomal RNA is filed under the name Fusobacteriota bacterium. RNAcentral's name for it is "Fusobacteria bacterium partial 16S ribosomal RNA". It matches the Rfam family "Bacterial small subunit ribosomal RNA", at positions 355 to 776 of the family's 1533-position model. The record is from RNAcentral. Lineage: Bacteria; Fusobacteriati; Fusobacteriota.